GGACCUAUAGGAUAGUUGGUUAGUCCAUUGGAUUCUGAUGUAUGUUUUCCAAUAACCUGAGUUCGAAUCUCAGUGGGUCCU
Molecule: transfer RNA, 81 nt
Organism: Pneumocystis murina B123
Lineage: Eukaryota; Fungi; Ascomycota; Pneumocystomycetes; Pneumocystales; Pneumocystaceae
Rfam family: tRNA
About the family: Transfer RNA (tRNA) molecules are approximately 80 nucleotides in length. Their secondary structure includes four short double-helical elements and three loops (D, anti-codon, and T loops). Further hydrogen bonds mediate the characteristic L-shaped molecular structure. tRNAs have two regions of fundamental functional importance: the anti-codon, which is responsible for specific mRNA codon recognition, and the 3' end, to which the tRNAs corresponding amino acid is attached (by aminoacyl-tRNA synthetases). tRNAs cope with the degeneracy of the genetic code in two manners: having more than one tRNA (with a specific anti-codon) for a particular amino acid; and 'wobble' base-pairing, i.e. permitting non-standard base-pairing at the 3rd anti-codon position.
Source: Rfam